This 488-nucleotide ribosomal RNA is filed under the name uncultured Propionibacterium sp. RNAcentral's name for it is "bacterial SSU rRNA". It matches the Rfam family "Bacterial small subunit ribosomal RNA", at positions 8 to 507 of the family's 1533-position model. The record is from RNAcentral. Lineage: Bacteria; Bacillati; Actinomycetota; Actinomycetes; Propionibacteriales; Propionibacteriaceae.
AGAGUUUGAUCCUGGCUCAGGACGAACGCUGGCGGCGUGCUUAACACAUGCAAGUCGAACGGAAAGGCCCUGCUUUUGUGGGGUGCUCGAGUGGCGAACGGGUGAGUAACACGUGAGUAACCUGCCCUUGACUUUGGGAUAACUUCAGGAAACUGGGGCUAAUACCGGAUAGGAGCUCCUGCUGCAUGGUGGGGGUUGGAAAGUUUCGGCGGUUGGGGAUGGACUCGCGGCUUAUCAGCUUGUUGGUGGGGUAGUGGCUUACCAAGGCUUUGACGGGUAGCCGGCCUGAGAGGGUGACCGGCCACAUUGGGACUGAGAUACGGCCCAGACUCCUACGGGAGGCAGCAGUGGGGAAUAUUGCACAAUGGGCGGAAGCCUGAUGCAGCAACGCCGCGUGCGGGAUGACGGCCUUCGGGUUGUAAACCGCUUUCGCCUGCGACGAAGCGUGAGUGACGGUAAUGGGUAAAGAAGCACCGGCUAACUACGUG